AUUGAACGCUGGCGGCAGGCCUAACACAUGCAAGUCGAGCGGCAGCGGGAAAGUAGCUUGCUACUUUUGCCGGCGAGCGGCGGACGGGUGAGUAAUGCCUGGGGAUCUGCCCAGUCGAGGGGGAUAACUACUGGAAACGGUAGCUAAUACCGCAUACGCCCUACGGGGGAAAGCAGGGGACCUUCGGGCCUUGCGCGAUUGGAUGAACCCAGGUGGGAUUAGCUAGUUGGUGAGGUAAUGGCUCACCAAGACGACGAUCCCUAGCUGGUCUGAGAGGAUGAUCAGCCACACUGGAACUGAGACACGGUCCAGACUCCUACGGGAGGCAGCAGUGGGGAAUAUUGCACAAUGGGGGAAACCCUGAUGCAGCCAUGCCGCGUGUGUGAAGAAGGCCUUCGGGUUGUAAAGCACUUUCAGCGAGGAGGAAAGGUUGGUAGCUAAUAACUGCCAGCUGUGACGUUACUCGCAGAAGAAGCACCGGCUAACUCCGUGCCAGCCGCCGCGGUAA
Molecule: ribosomal RNA, 508 nt
Filed under: uncultured bacterium
Lineage: Bacteria
Description: partial 16S ribosomal RNA
Rfam family: Bacterial small subunit ribosomal RNA
Source: RNAcentral